This 2968-nucleotide unclassified non-coding RNA is filed under the name Hevea brasiliensis (rubber tree). The record is from RNAcentral. Lineage: Eukaryota; Viridiplantae; Streptophyta; Magnoliopsida; Malpighiales; Euphorbiaceae.
GGAAUCGAUGAAAUUUGCAGGUUAUUUAUAAAUAAAAAAAAGGGACAAUCACUAACAUGCUAGAGCAAAAUCAACAAUCCCCACGAGGAGGACCAUGACUUCUACAGGAUGUUCUAGUUAGAGUAAUUAUUCAAAGACUGUACAGAAAGUUUAAAAAAGAUGCCCAUCAUCCCUUUGGGCUUUGUUGGAUCAGACUUUGGCAGUAGAAAUUUUACAUAAAUGACAGGCACAACCCAAAGCUUCUAUACUUCUGAUUACAAUUGAUAAAAAAAAAGCUAUAUACUCGUCAAAAUUUCUCUAUGCCUAGAUAUUGCCACUUCAGAAAACCAUGGUUUUUCUCCUCAAUCAAGCAACUACAUGGAGAGAGAGGUGUCACUCAUGAGACUGUUCGUCCAUAACAAAUUGAUGCUAUGUAUAAAUUCUUUGCCCACUUCUCCUUGACAUGGGCACUGGGAAAAGCAGAAGUUCGAAGCGUCUCCUGCGUUUCAUCUGGCGGUUUCCUUCUUGGCACGCUAAGAACGAAAGCAGCCUGAUCCCAAGUUGCUGCAGUUGCUGUAAUACGAUAUGCAUGAUCCCACCGACGAUGUAUGCCUUCACUUGGAUAAAGGAAAUCAAGUUCAACAACCUGGUGUGCAAACCCUGCCCCACGAGACAUAACAACUCCCCAUCUACUCCCUGAGGUGGCCAUUGCAGUAACAUAGAAACCUUCCUUCCAUUUUUUGUUAAUCCAUUUAAAAGGAAAUGAAUCACUAACUUUAUAUGACUGCUGCAAAUAGAGAGUACCCUUAGACAUAACAACUAAUGAGCUUCCAUUAGCUGCUCCAGCUAAGGCACUGAUAUAAUAAUUCUUCUCCCAGUGCUCCAUUAUCCAUUCCUUGUGAAGAAAAUGUGGCGAUAGUUCAUAGACUUGUGCAGUGUAACCAGUACCAGCAUCCAUAAUCAAGGCCCAAAGAUUUUGACAUGAAGCUACGCUGCUAAUAAAUAAGCCAUCCUCAUUUCCUUUUUCAAUGUGCUGGGCAAGUCUUGCAUCAGCCACAUUAUAGUGAUACCGUUGCUUCAUAGGUCUACGAGCAUUGUACACACUAAUCCAUUGUGCUGCUGCCAUGCCCAGUCGAACCUUCUUCUUUGGUUGUCCAUCAUCUUCUUCUUCUUCUUCUUUUAACAAUAAAUCUCCUCACACGUUCCCAGUAAGAGCUUCAAUCUAAAAGAAAUUGAACAACUCUUGUUUCUGCAAUUAAAUUCAAGUGUAUGGACUACGAUACCACUCCCAUUUGUCAUUGACUUCUGAAUUGUCAUCCAUUGUCAACAGAAAUCAUCAAACUGGAAAAAUAUACCAAAUCUCCUAAUACUUGAGUUAGCUUACAAAGUUUUUCUGUUCUGUCAAGACACAAAACUUGAGACUUCACUCACACACAUGCUGCAAGUAGCUUUUAAGAGCCUAUGUGUUUCUUCAUCUAAAUCAACAUUAUCUUUCUUCAUACGCUCUGCAACUAUUAGGGGCAUUUUACCUGCGUUUUUAUAAGUUCGUAGAACAGAAUUAUAUAUCUCUGUACUCACAUGGCCAGCUUUCUGAAGCAUAACCAAAAAUUCCUCUGCUUCUUCAACAAUCCCUUUCUCCUCAAGAUUCUUAAAUACUUCUCUAACCAAAAUUUUGUCAGGAUUCCACUUCUUAACACUACUAAUAGCCUUCUUAAAAUAAUCUAAAACUUUAUCCAUCUGCUUUGAUUUCAAAUGACCCCAUGUUAGAAGUUCCCAAGUAGUGUAACAAGGACGGAAGCCGUUUUGCACCAUAUGAUGAUGAAAAUUUUCAGCUUCUUCCAUCUGGUUUCUAUUGAUAUAAGCUGCAAGGAGAAUGUUUGGGACCUGGGGAUCACUCCGUCCAGAAACUGACUCCCACUCAGAGUAAAGAUUCUGUGCUUCUUCAAUCUCCUCAAGUUUCACAAGGGAAGACAUCAUAGAGGUAUAUUCAGCAUCAUUCAUUUUGCGAAAGCAUGAUUUCAUUUUAUUCCAGAUCCGAUGUACCCCAUCCCUAUCUCCCAUGUUUGUAUGCAAACUGAGGAGGGAAGAAUAAGCGAGUCGAUUUUUCCUCGAAGCCCUUUUCUCCAUCUCUUUCAAAGUCGAUGCUGCAUUUUCAAUGAGUUGGUUUUUUAUAUAUAAGUUGGUUAAUGUGCUAUAUGUUAUCCAGUCUGGAUCAACUUUUGCUUUCUUCAACUCCACUAAGACUUUUUUCGCAGUUUCAACAUCAUUCUGUGAGGCACAUGCCCUCAGCCACAGAUUGUAAGUAACAACAUCUGGUGAAGUGUUUUUCUUCAACUCCUUUAUGACUUCAGGAACCUUCUCCAAUUGCCCAUUUGCAACGUACAGAGAUAGCAUAUGGUUGUAAGGAAGGGGAUUCUUCAAGAAACUACAUUCAGACAUCUUCUCCAUUAAAGCCUCAGCCUUUUCAAUCAACUUAUAGUUGACGUAAGUAUGAAGAAGAGCAGUACAGGUUUGCCAGCCUCUCAUUUCAUCUCGGAGAUCUUCAAAAAAUUUCUCUGCACUACUUAGACCACGAACCUUUGCAAUCAAGUCCAAGUGCACAGCAUAGUCACCUUGCAUGAGCUUGAUAUCUUGCUGUUGUGUCAUCCAUUCACAAACCUCGAGAGCGUGCUUGUACCGCUUGAGCUUUCGGAGCUCUCUAACAAUCCGAUUAAGCUGAUACUUCUGCACCUUGUGGCCCUCUGCUUUCCACUUCCCUAUUGCAAUUACGGCACUGCGUUUCGCAUAAACCAGGCUAAACAGUCUCCUACCCAGCGUGUCUCCCCCGCCACCUGUUCUUGCCGUUGCGCCGCCUCUCCCGACAGCCUUCUGCGCAGCCGCUUCAGCCGAGAAGUGGCGAGCGGCGGCCGCAACAGUUGCCCGAAAAUGAAUGAACCGGAGCAACAUUUCGCAACAUACGAGUCGAAUCUUCUUCGACUGUGGGUUUGGU